GUAUUUUCAAAGAUUUUUAUGUCUUCCCUUGCAAAGUGAAUAGUUAACCAUACGCAGUGUGGACGCAAAAUAAAAAAUGUUGCUCAUACGCAACGUUGGCUCCUAAGGGGUUAACCGAAUUUCGGGCCAGACUAUCAGUGGUCCUGCCUGGUCCUGACCUGGGCCAUUCAUUCUCGCGCUGGUGUCGAGCCUAGUCCGAGGUCCUGGAACACUACCCCGUAUCCUUUGGCGCGUCUUUGACAUUAUGAAUGAUCAGCAUAAAUUUCCCAGAGCUCUCGCGUUCCAAGGCCCAGCUGCAAAUGCUCCGUCGAGGACAAAAAAAAAUGAAAAAAAGGAGCGGAAAAGCAAGAGGGGCCACGGCAAACGGAGCCAGAUAACUAGCGAACAAAGUGAAGGACGGGCUCUGAAAUUCAUUUCAUUUCAUUUCCUUUCUUCAAGCGAGAGUUCUAAGUCCAGAAUCCUGAGUCCUGAAUCCUGAGUCCUGAAACCCCAGCUAAUGAGACUUUCUAUGGAAUUUGAACAUUUCUUAAACCCAAAUCGUGUCCGGAUUGGUUCAUUCAUAGGUCAACAAAACCCGAGCCCGAGAGAGCAAAUAAUGUCAAACGCAAAGGAGGGAUAACGAAAAACUAAAUUCAGUUUACAUAAUAUAGCUCAUAAAAUAUU
Molecule: long non-coding RNA, 663 nt
Organism: Drosophila elegans
Lineage: Eukaryota; Metazoa; Arthropoda; Insecta; Diptera; Drosophilidae
Exons: 2
Source: RefSeq, a predicted model, not a curated record